RNAcentral lists this long non-coding RNA (1113 nucleotides) under Homo sapiens (human). RNAcentral's name for it is "lncAB130.4". The record is from RNAcentral. Lineage: Eukaryota; Metazoa; Chordata; Mammalia; Primates; Hominidae.
GACAAGAGGAUGGGACUGCAGUUGUGGCUGCCAGGGCCCCGGCCAGGGUGAAAACAAGGAACAUUCCAGAGAAGAUCACAAGGAUGCGAAUAAAAUCGGAGCUGCACAGGGAUCUUUGGGCUGUAAUAGGAGGGGACACACAGGGGUUAGGGGAGGGUCUAGCCCUUGGCUCCCUCAGCCCAGCCCUCCUGUCACCUUGCCUCUCCCCUUUCCCCCACCUUAUUCUAUCCCACCCGCCACCGUUGGCCAACUCCUCUCCUAAACAGUGGACUCUGCUUUUUCCCCUCCUCUUAUCCCUAAUCCUAGGAGCUUUCUGUCUGGCUUCCCUCCUGGCCCCUCGUGUAUGCAUUCUCUCUAGCGGUGGGGAUUAAGGAGAAAACUCACGUGGCCAGUGGGUAGAGAGAGUCCGGGCAGGCAGCUGCCUGAAGUCAGCCAGAGUCUGCAUGUGCCCAGCUGUCCUGGCCUCCAGCAUCUCUGGAAAAACAGAGACAGAAUGAGUAGCAGCAGGGGACCCCAUAGGGCACAUCUGAAGGCCUGAGAGGUGCUGGAUGGGAUGGGAAGGCAGAAACAGGCUGACCUUAUCUAGGGGUAGGAGUGGGGAGUACUGGUUGGGGUAUCACCGCUACCCCACGUGAUGGCACAGAGAGUUGCCUGGAACUUACCACUGACAUAAGAGUCUUGCUUUGUCGCCCAGGUUGGAGUGCAGUGGCACGAUCUCGGCUCAGUGCAACCUCCGCCUCCUGAGUUCAAGUGAUUCUCCUGCCUCAGCCUCCCUAGUAGCUGGGAUUACAGGACAAGGAGAGGGACAAAUUCCUUCUUGGCAUCCUUAUGGCCCUGUGACCUGCUAAUGAAUGCUGACUCUGAGUUGCUACUAGAAUUUGGUUUCCUUGUGGCUUCCCAGGAAUUGUGAGCCAUGUUGGAUAAGGACCUGCAAGGGAAGAAUGAGGAAGCCUGGGACAGUGCAGGAGGGGAGAGCACUGGUGGUAGAGAGGAGUGAUGACAAGGGUCUCCGCCAAAAGGGAAAUGGAGGGGUUAAAGAAGCUGCUGGGGAGGGUUAAAAACAAUGUGUUCUCACUCGUAGGUGGGAAUUGAACAAUGAGAACACUUGGACAC